CCCUGCCUCUCCAGACUAUCCUCUCAUCCAAAAGUGGAAAGGCGAGUAAGUUCACUAAUCAUCAUCCUCAGUUGUUGAGGCAAAUGAGAAAGGUUUAAACUUGUAGCCAUCACCAUGGUAGAACUUAUUUUGGAAUUCCACCCAGUGAAGACGCAAUGCAUGCAGGAACGCACUGAGCGUUAUGAAGGCAGUGGCAAAGGCAAAAACUGCAAGCCCCACUAACCGGAUGAUGAUAUUAUCAUAC
RNAcentral lists this unclassified non-coding RNA (244 nucleotides) under Hevea brasiliensis (rubber tree). Lineage: Eukaryota; Viridiplantae; Streptophyta; Magnoliopsida; Malpighiales; Euphorbiaceae. The record is from RNAcentral.